Molecule: non-coding RNA, 95 nt
Organism: Picea glauca (white spruce)
Lineage: Eukaryota; Viridiplantae; Streptophyta; Pinopsida; Pinales; Pinaceae
Source: Rfam
CCGACCUUAGCUCAGUUGGUAGAGCGGAGGACUGUAGUGGGAUUGUAAGUCUCAAUGAAAUCCUUAGGUCGCUGGUUAGAAUCCGGCAGGUCGGA